Non-coding RNA from Oryza glaberrima (African rice), 188 nucleotides. The record is from Rfam. NCBI's taxonomy places the organism in Eukaryota, Viridiplantae, Streptophyta, Magnoliopsida, Poales, Poaceae.
AAUAAGUGUAGUUUUACACUAUUCACGUUCAACGUUUGACCGUUCGUCUUAUUUAAUUUUUUUUUAUGAUUAGUAUUUUUAUUACUAUUAGAUAAUAAAAUAUUAAUAGUACUUUAUGUGUGACUAAAUAUUUUUAAAUAAUACGGAUAGUCAAAUAUUGGGCACAGAUAUUCACAGCUACAUUUAUU